AAAAUGAUAAAUUUGCUAUUAUAUACAUAAAAUAAUUUUAAAAGCCAAAAGUAAAAUAAAAUAAAAGAGAAAAGAAAAAAAAAAAAAAUAAUCUCUUCCAGAUCUCACCCACUUCCCAAUCCACCUACGCCCAAACUAAACUUGCUACUUUCGGCCACCACUAGACGGUGACUUUAGCAUUCGCAUCCGACCCGGCUCCAGAGACCAAGAAGCGCGAGUCGAGAGGCAUAAUGAAGCUCACAAGGAGGUGAAAUCGGAACAGUUCUUCUUUUUACCAUUCUCUAGCGGCGGAUCCACUGAGGAAUCGGAGUGUAGGAACUUGAGAUGGUGAAUUCCGUUCUUCUCCUACCAGAUUUUAAACUCCAUUCCCCAAGUGAAGUCAUCUCUGUCUCACCAAUAUUCACCUUACAGCACAUACCCGCCAUUGAAUAUCAAUCUCGUAAAAGUAUGUUGGGUUUUAUAGUAGCGAAAAUAAUUUUUGGUAGUUGGUUUUGAUUUAAUGUUGGUGGUUGGUUUUGGUUUGAUUGUGGUGGUGGCAAUGGUGGCGAUUUCCGAGCGACUGUUGUGCGUGAUGGUGGUAGCUGUGCCGAUCCUCCAAAUGUGGUGGUGGCGGUUUACGGGCAAAAUUGUGGAUUUGGGGAGGGGGAGGGGGGGUGGAUGGGGCGACGGCUGCUGUGAUCAAUAGUGGUUAGUCGUCGACGAAGAGGCAAUGAUGGUGCCGACAGUGUGCCAGCCAUUCGACUGUUGGCUAGAAAGAGAAGCCCAUUUCAUUUUUUAUUUUUAUUUUCUAAUUUUUUGUUUAUUUAUUUAAUGUAGUAAUUGUAAAAUUACUAUUUUACCCAUUUAUAUUUGGUCAAAAUUAAUCAAAGUCCACAUUUCUUGGUCAACUAGAUGGUUUU
Molecule: long non-coding RNA, 899 nt
Filed under: Olea europaea (common olive)
Lineage: Eukaryota; Viridiplantae; Streptophyta; Magnoliopsida; Lamiales; Oleaceae
Description: long non-coding RNA (OEUR_LNC001543)
Source: RNAcentral